Molecule: long non-coding RNA, 712 nt
Filed under: Manihot esculenta (cassava)
Lineage: Eukaryota; Viridiplantae; Streptophyta; Magnoliopsida; Malpighiales; Euphorbiaceae
Description: long non-coding RNA (MESC_LNC005398)
Source: RNAcentral
UUUGGUACCUCAUUUAAGUCCUCCAUUGUAGGAUUGGACCCGAGAAAACGAGGUGUUUAGCAGUCUUCAGAGUUAGAGUUGGUCCAGAGCUAGUUAGCCCAGAGUUAGCCAAGCAGAGGCUACAGGUGAGUGGAACUACACUCUAUAAUUUUAAAUUCAGAAAUGACAUACUUCUAGCAUGUUCCAUGCAUCAUAAAAUGCCAUGUUUUAUAUUAGGUUGUAUUGCAUUCGUUUUCACGAAUUUGAUGCAUUGCAUAAGAUGAUAUUUGUAUGGAUGACUGUUGGAUGAUCCUUAGCCCUUGAUAGAGCACAGAGUACAGAUACAGAGUUAUGGCAUGAGGUAGCCAUACCAGGUCGCUCCUGGAUAGGCCAGGUCGCUCCUGGUACUAUGAGUUAGACAGACAGUCUGUCAGAUCAGAGAUCAGAGUAGUCCAGGUGAGGCCUAAUCGCCCCUGGCACAGUUGGACAUACUAUUAUGUAUGUAGAGGGCUAUGGUGACAAGUUCAUCCUUGAGGUGAUAUGUUUGUGAUGUGAUACAUUUCAUGAAAGCAUGUAAUUAAUGAACUGUUUACUGUUACUUCUCACUGGGCUGUAGUAGCUCAUCCCACUCCCUUAACCCCAGUUUUGCAGGUUCUGAGAUAGCUAUGGGAAGUCAAAGUCAGCAAGAGUACAGAGAACAGUGAUGCAUGAAUGUAUGGUUGUAAUAGCAUAG